AGCAGCCGCGGUAAUUCCAGCUCCAAUAGCGUAUAUUAAAGUUGUUGCAAGUUAAAAAGCUCGUAGUUGAAUUUCGGGAUUGGCGCAUCGGUCGUGCCUCACGGGGUAUGAACUGGUGCAGUCAAUUUCUCACCUUCUGGAGAACCGCGAUGUCCUUAAUUGGAUGCCGUGGGGAACCAGGACCCUUACUUUGAAAAAAUUAGAGUGUUUAAAGCAGGCAUUUUUUGCUUGAAUACAUUAGCAUGGAAUAAUAAAAUAGGACGGCAUGGUUCUAUUUUGUUGGUUUCUAGGACCACCGUAAUGAUUAAUAGGGAUAGUUGGGGGCAUUAGUAUUCAAUUGUCAGAGGUGAAAUUCUUGGAUUUAUUGAAGACUAACUACUGCGAAAAGCAUUUGCCAAGGAUGUUUUCAUUAAUCAAGAACGAAAGUUAGGGAUCGAAGACGAUCAGAUACCGUCGUAGUACGUUAACCAAUAAACUAUAGCCGACUAGGAAUCAGACGAUGUUUAAUUUUUUAAUGACUCGUUUGGCUACCUUAAC
This 537-nucleotide ribosomal RNA is filed under the name uncultured Glomus. Its description in RNAcentral is "SSU rRNA". It matches the Rfam family "Eukaryotic small subunit ribosomal RNA", at positions 569 to 1092 of the family's 1831-position model. The record is from RNAcentral. Lineage: Eukaryota; Fungi; Glomeromycota; Glomeromycetes; Glomerales; Glomeraceae.